GACGAACGCUGGCGGCGUGCUUAACACAUGCAAGUCGAACGGAAAGGCCCUGCUUUUGUGGGGUGCUCGAGUGGCGAACGGGUGAGUAACACGUGAGUAACCUGCCCUUGACUUUGGGAUAACUUCAGGAAACUGGGGCUAAUACCGGAUAGGAGCUCCUGCUGCAUGGUGGGGGUUGGAAAGUUUCGGCGGUUGGGGAUGGACUAGCGGCUUAUCAGCUUGUUAGUGGGGUAGUGGCUUACCAAGGCUUUGACGGGUAGCCGGCCUGGGAGGGUGACCGGCGACAAUGGGACUGAGAGACGGACCAGACUCCUACGGGAGGCAGCAGUGGGGAAUAUUGCACAAUGGGCGGAAGCCUGAUGCAGCAACGCCGCGUGCGGGAUGACGGCCUUCGGGUUGUAAACCGCUUUCGCCUGUGACGAAGCGUGAGUGACGGUAAUGGGUAAAGAAGCACCGGCUAACUACGUG
This 468-nucleotide ribosomal RNA is filed under the name uncultured bacterium. RNAcentral's name for it is "partial 16S ribosomal RNA". It matches the Rfam family "Bacterial small subunit ribosomal RNA", at positions 28 to 507 of the family's 1533-position model. The record is from RNAcentral.